UAGGGAAUCUUCCGCAAUGGACGAAAGUCUGACGGAGCAACGCCGCGUGAGUGAUGAAGGUCUUCGGAUCGUAAAGCUCUGUUGCCAGGGAAGAAUAGGUAUAGGAGUAACUGCCUGUACUGUGACGGUACCUGAGAAGAAAGCCCCGGCUAACUACGUGCCAGCAGCCGCGGUAAUACGUAGGGGGCAAGCGUUGUCCGGAAUUAUUGGGCGUAAAGGGCACGCAGGCGGUGGUUUAAGUUUGGUGUUUAAUCCCGAGGCUCAACCCCGGUACGCACUGAAAACUGGAUCACUUGAGUACAGAAGAGGAGAGUGGAAUUCCACGUGUAGCGGUGAAAUGCGUAGAUAUGUGGAGGAACACCAGUGGCGAAGGCGACUCUCUGGUCUGUCACUGACGCUGAGGUGCGAAAGCGUGGGUAGCAAACAGG
RNAcentral lists this ribosomal RNA (428 nucleotides) under Bacillota bacterium. Its description in RNAcentral is "Firmicutes bacterium partial 16S ribosomal RNA". It matches the Rfam family "Bacterial small subunit ribosomal RNA", at positions 355 to 776 of the family's 1533-position model. Lineage: Bacteria; Bacillati; Bacillota. The record is from RNAcentral.